Long non-coding RNA from Esox lucius (northern pike), 1280 nucleotides. Lineage: Eukaryota; Metazoa; Chordata; Actinopteri; Esociformes; Esocidae. The record is from Ensembl.
GUGGAUUUGUCAAGACGCAUUUCCUGCACGCAAACUGAGGGCUGCCGCUGAGCGCCAAUCUGGGCUCACUUCUCAGGCAGCUAAACCCUUUGACACUGCGCUUUUUAAUUAAAAUUACAUUAUGAUUAAUCAGCCAGAAGGAGGGCCUUCUCCGUUUGUUUCCAGGCAGGUUUGAUUACAACCUGUGACGGACGCUGCUCGCUGCCAAGCCGCUAAAGAUGUGCUGGCAGAUGCGGUGGCCCAGCCAGCUUGUCGAGCCCCAGGGUUGCGGGCGACAAGGGAGAGGGAAGGAGAGAGGAGGGAGUGAAGGGGGGAAUGACAGAAGACAGAGGAAAAGAUAGGAAAAGGAGGAAAUGACAGACAGAGAAAGAAAGGAGCUGAAGAGAUGGGAACGUGUACAGAUGAAAGAGGCCAAGACAAAGACUUCAAACUAAAUAUAAACAGGGGAGAGUGAGACAGCCAGAUAGAGCAACAGACAGACCCCCAUAGGGCAGUAGCAGUCACGUGACUCUCUCAGACAUACCCCCACAGCCGUCUAGAAAACAAUAUCGAUCAGGAUAUGUCUGAGCUGCCGGAGAGCAACUCCCGAAGCAGACGAAAAGAAAGACAAGGGGGGGGAUCAGUUCUCCCUACAACAGUACAAGGUGCCUGGGUCUGGAAACACAAGCCCAUACUUACCUCUGGUCUCUGAGAGGGCACCGAGGGCCCUUUGUAGUGCAGGUAUGGCGCUGUGUAAUCUGCGUGGCAAUCGUGUCGACUCGAAGGCCCUGUAGUCUGCUUACUCAGGCUGAAAGAGCCAUGUUCCAAGUGUGUCCCCACACCAGAAAACAAAGCCAGGAGGAGGAUGUCAGGGCCCUGUUGGCGGUGCACAGGGCCAGUGAGACACGUUUCAAAUCAGUCAAGGAGGCCAUGAUAAACCUGAGUACUGUGUCCACGGAGAAAGCGGAUGUGCAGCCUCAGUUCUUAUGUACUGUUUACAAGUGUCAGUGUUAAAUUUGAAUCACUGCCAGUUUAAAACGUUGUGUAUUAACAGAAGCUCAACCCACCACAGCCAGAAAACAACUGUCCACAAUUUGGAACCUGGCUCCAAUCUAGGUUUCUUCCUAGUGCAUUUUCCAGUUUUUCCUAGUUACUGUGCUUCAACAUCUUAUUCAUUUCUCUUUGGGGUUUUAGGUUAGGUUUUUGUUUGAGCACUCCUGAUUUUAAAAGGGCUUCAUCAAAUAGGUGCGGCCGAGUGAUUGAAAUGACUAUAAGACUUGUAAGCUAGAAAUAAUACUUAU